GUCGGGCCUGGGGCGUGGAUGGGAGCGGCUUGGGUUCUGAGUCUCCACCCUUGUGAAGGGGGAAAUAUACCCAAGUUGUACGCCAAUGUCCAUAGCAGAAUUAUUCACAAUCAGCAAAGCUGGAAACAACCCAGGAACCAUCAGCAGAGGAAUGGAUAAAGGAAAUGAAAGGAAAUGGGCUGGAUACACACGUUGGAGUCUUAGCCACAGAGAGGAAUGAAGUUCUGACACAUUCUACAACAUGGAGAAGCCUGGAGAACCUCUGCCAGGCAAAAGAAGCCAGGGACAAAGAACAAAUGCUUCAUGAGUCCAUUUAUAUGGGGCACCUGGAGCAGGGCAGUUCGAGGACAUAGAAGACAGAGUGGAGGUUACCAGUGCCUCAGGGAAUGGGGGCAGUUGGGAGCUCUUCCUUGAAUAGGUACUGAAUUUCUGCUAAGGGUAUUGAAACGUUUUGGAAAUACUGUUGCUGUAACGGUGUAAAUGUAGUUAACACGACUGAAUUCUGCACUUAAAAAUGGUUAAAAUGCAGCCAGGCGUGGUGAUGCACACCUGUAUUCCCAGCACUCUGGGAGGCUGAGGCAGGAGGAUUGCAAGUUCAAACCCAGCCUGGGCAGCUUAGUGAGACUGUCUCAAAAUAAAGAAUCAAAAAAGGCUGGGGAUGUAGCUUAGUGUGAAGGUCCUGGGUUCAAUCCUCAGUACUGCAUUUAAAAAGGAAAGAAAUUCAGAGGCCCCGAGGGAGCCUCCCGUCGUCACUCAGGGCCACAGCGAACCCUGGGUUUCCAGUCUCCAGCACUGUGAGACAAGAAAUCUGCUGCAUCAGCCUCCAAGUUUGAGGUCCUUUGUUAGAGUCUAGCGAACGAUCUCACUCCCAGAGAAAGCUGCUCUGCCUGUCUUCUGUGUCCACCAGGGUCAUCAAACAAGUUUUUUUGAGACAGGGCCUCACUGUGUAGCCCAGGAUGACCUCGAACUUGUGGAGAUUGUCCUGCCUCAGUGUCUCAAGUGCUAGGAUUACAGGUGUGCACCGCCAUGCCUGGCUCCACUCUGUGCAUCGAGUGG
Molecule: long non-coding RNA, 1056 nt
Filed under: Heterocephalus glaber (naked mole-rat)
Lineage: Eukaryota; Metazoa; Chordata; Mammalia; Rodentia; Bathyergidae
Description: lncRNA (ENSHGLG00000037768.1)
Source: RNAcentral